This 433-nucleotide ribosomal RNA is filed under the name uncultured bacterium. RNAcentral's name for it is "partial 16S ribosomal RNA". It matches the Rfam family "Bacterial small subunit ribosomal RNA", at positions 29 to 507 of the family's 1533-position model. The record is from RNAcentral.
AACGAACGCUGGCGGCAGGCUUAAUACAUGCAAGUCGAGCGGGCACUUCGGUGUCAGCGGCGCACGGGUGCGUAACGCGUGGGAACAUGCCUUUAGGUACGGAACAACGAAGGGCAACUUUGGCUAAUACAGUAUAAUAUCUCUGGAUCAAAGAUUUAUCGCCUAAAGAUUGGCCCGCGUUAGAUUAGGUAGUUGGUGGGGUAAUGGCCUACCAAGCCGACGAUCUAUAGGGGGGCGGAGAGGAUGAUCCCCCACACUGGAACUGAGACACGGUCCAGACUCCUACGGGAGGGAGCAGUAAAGAAUAUUGGACGAUGGGCGAAAGUCUGAUCCAGCCAUGCCGGGUGAGUGAUGAAGGCCUUAGGGUUGUAAAGCUCUUUUAGAUGGGAAGAUAAUGACGGUACCAUCAGAAUAAGCCCCGGCUAAAUUCGUG